UGCCAGCCGCCGCGGUAAUACGAAGGGUGCUAGCGUUGUUCGGAAUUACUGGGCGUAAAGAGCAUGUAGGCGGAUGAAUUAGUCAGAGGUGAAAGCCCCGAGCUCAACUUGGGAACUGCCUUUGAUACUGUUUAUCUAGAGUCCGAGAGAGGUUAGUGGAAUUCCCAGUGUAGAGGUGAAAUUCGUAGAUAUUCGGAGGAACACCAGUGGCGAAGGCGACCACCUGGUACAGUAUUGACGCUGAGAUGCGAAAGUGUGGGGAGCAAACGGGAUUAGAUA
RNAcentral lists this ribosomal RNA (279 nucleotides) under uncultured bacterium. RNAcentral's name for it is "partial 16S ribosomal RNA". It matches the Rfam family "Bacterial small subunit ribosomal RNA", at positions 506 to 784 of the family's 1533-position model. The record is from RNAcentral.